RNAcentral lists this ribosomal RNA (497 nucleotides) under uncultured bacterium. RNAcentral describes it as "partial 16S ribosomal RNA". It matches the Rfam family "Bacterial small subunit ribosomal RNA", at positions 28 to 507 of the family's 1533-position model. The record is from RNAcentral.
GACGAACGCUGGCGGCGUGCCUAAUACAUGCAAGUUGAGCGCUGAAGGUUGGUACUUGUACCAACUGGAUGAGCAGCGAACGGGUGAGUAACGCGUGGGGAAUCUGCCUUUGAGCGGGGGACAACAUUUGGAAACGAAUGCUAAUACCGCAUAAAAACUUUAAACACAAGUUUUAAGUUUGAAAGAUGCAAUUGCAUCACUCAAAGAUGAUCCCGCGUUGUAUUAGCUAGUUGGUGAGGUAAAGGCUCACCAAGGCGAUGAUACAUAGCCGACCUGAGAGGGUGAUCGGCCACAUUGGGACUGAGACACGGCCCAAACUCCUACGGGAGGCAGCAGUAGGGAAUCUUCGGCAAAGGACGAAAGUCUGACCGAGCAACGCCGCGUGAGUGAAGAAGGUUUUCGGAUCGUAAAACUCUGUUGGUAGAGAAGAACGUUGGUGAGAGUGGAAAGCUCAUCAAGUGACGGUAACUACCCAGAAAGGGACGGCUAACUACGUG